GAUGAAGAACGCAGCGAAAUGCGAUAGGUAGUGUGAAUUGCAGAUGUAACGUGAAUCAUCGAAUCUUUGAACGCAAAUUGCAUUCCCUGGUAUUCCGGGGAGUAUGCCUGUUUGAGGGUCGCCAAAUACACAUCGAUUAACAUUGCUUUUGAAGUAAAUGUUUAUCGGAUUUGAGCUUUCUUUAUUCUUAAAAUGACAAGGAUAAAGUGGUUUAAAAUUUAUUUUUUUUUGGUAUCAAGCGUAUUUUACAAUCAAUUUUUGAUUAAAAAAGAACGUUUCGAAUGCCAUCCUUUUAAUGUAAUACGUUUGACUAUAUGUAAUAAAUAUGUAGUUCAUUCGCAUACGAUUCAUAAAUUUUUUUUUUUGACCUCAAAUCAGGUAAGAGUACCCGCUGAACUUAAGCAUAUCAAUAAGCGGAGGA
This 421-nucleotide unclassified non-coding RNA is filed under the name soil metagenome. RNAcentral describes it as "partial contains 5.8S ribosomal RNA, internal transcribed spacer 2, and large subunit ribosomal RNA". The stretch from base 1 to 121 matches the Rfam family "5.8S ribosomal RNA", at positions 35 to 154 of the family's 154-position model. The record is from RNAcentral.